GGUUUUUACUAUAUAAGCAAGUUCAAACAAAAAUAGUAUAAAAUACUAAUUUUAUUGGAUUUAAAGAAGUAAAAGAUAAUUUAGUAAUGAUUUGUUGUGAAAUCAAAAUGAAAUGAGGAGAUUUUGAAAUUUUCUACAAGGAACAUGGCUUAUAUUUUAGCAGAAAAUUUACAGUGGAAAAAAUUAUGAAACUUCAAAAAGUUGUCUGUACUAACUUCUUGAGGCCAGAUUUAAAGUUUCGUGUUAUUCGGAUACUAGAGCAGUAAAAACGGAGCUUAACAGCAAUCUGUUAGAAAUUUUAGUCAGCAGAGUUUUCAGUGAUCGGAAUUGGUCCAAAACUGAAAAGUUCAGGUGAAUUAAUGUUGAUUAACCUUAAUUGAGUUUGCUCGUCAAAUUUGAGCAUAAAGGAAUAUUGAGAAGGGCUCUAAUUAGACGCAUUAAAUCAGAAUUGGACUAAAGUUUAUAUGCUUGAUUCUUGUGGACCUACGGGCAUUUGUUACAUUGCCUAUUUGAUUUCCACUAAUUAGCCAGAGGACCGCUUCAUUCUUACUAGUGAAGGCCCGCGCUUCGCGACAGUAAAUUUACACAUUUUUUAAAAUAUUUUGGACAAACUAAUAUAUUUCUAUAUUUCCGUUGUUAUCAUUCAUUUUUUUUAAAUUUAAGUUUAAGUUUUUUAAUUUUCAAAUCUAAUUUUAAAUUUUAAACUUCAAAAAAUUGAAGAGAGAGAAAGAAAUAAAAAAAUUAUUUAAAUAGAGAGGAAAUUAGUAUACUGAUUAGCUAUAAAUUUAACAAAAUAUUCUGUUGAUAUUAUAAAAUGAUAACAAAAUAAGCAAGUUUUAAAUAAGUGAAUAGAAUAAUUAGUUAGUAAAUUGAGGAAUAAUGAAAUAGAUGGAAUGAAAACAAAAUUAAAAAUAGAUGGAAUGGCAACAAAAAUGAUA
RNAcentral lists this long non-coding RNA (938 nucleotides) under Ananas comosus (pineapple). RNAcentral's name for it is "long non-coding RNA (ACOM_LNC029766)". Lineage: Eukaryota; Viridiplantae; Streptophyta; Magnoliopsida; Poales; Bromeliaceae. The record is from RNAcentral.